GUAGGUGGCAAGCGUUGUCCGGAAUUAUUGGGCGUAAAGCGCGCGCAGGCGGUCCUUUAAGUCUGAUGUGAAAGCCCACGGCUCAACCGUGGAGGGUCAUUGGAAACUGGGGGACUUGAGUACAGAAGAGGAAAGCGGAAUUCCAAGUGUAGCGGUGAAAUGCGUAGAGAUUUGGAGGAACACCAGUGGCGAAGGCGGCUUUCUGGUCUGUAACUGACGCUGAGGCGCGAAAGCGUGGGGAGCAAACAGGAUUAGAUACCCUGGUAGUCCACGCCGUAAACGAUGAGUGCUAAGUGUUAGGGGGUUUCCCCCCCCCCUUAGUGCUGCAGCUAACGCAUUAAGCACUCCGCCUGGGGGAGUACGGCCGCAAGGCUG
Molecule: ribosomal RNA, 375 nt
Filed under: uncultured organism
Description: partial 16S ribosomal RNA
Rfam family: Bacterial small subunit ribosomal RNA
Source: RNAcentral